RNAcentral lists this ribosomal RNA (327 nucleotides) under uncultured Pseudomonadota bacterium. Its description in RNAcentral is "bacterial SSU rRNA". It matches the Rfam family "Bacterial small subunit ribosomal RNA", at positions 29 to 351 of the family's 1533-position model. The record is from RNAcentral. Lineage: Bacteria; Pseudomonadati; Pseudomonadota.
AGUGAACGCUGGCGGCAGGCCUAAUACAUGCAAGUCGAACGGCAGCACAGCAGAGCUUGCUCUGUGGGUGGCGAGUGGCGGACGGGUGAGGAAUACAUGGGAAUCUGCCCAGUCGUGGGGGAUAACGUAGGGAAACUUACGCUAAUACCGCAUGCGCCCUUCGGGGGAAAGCCGGGGACCUUCGGGCCUGGCGCGAUUGGAUGAGCCCAUGUCGGAUUAGCUAGUUGGCGGGGUAACGGCCCACCAAGGCGACGAUCCGUAGCUGGUCUGAGAGGAUGAUCAGCCACACUGGAACUGAGACACGGUCCAGACUCCUACGGGAGGCUG